GAUGAACGCUGGCGGCGUGCCUAAUACAUGCAAGUCGAGCGAACGGACGAGAAGCUUGCUUCUCUGAUGUUAGCGGCGGACGGGUGAGUAACACGUGGAUAACCUACCUAUAAGACUGGGAUAACUUCGGGAAACCGGAGCUAAUACCGGAUAAUAUUUUGAACCGCAUGGUUCAAAAGUGAAAGAAGGUCUUGCUGUCACUUAUAGAUGGAUCCGCGCUGCAUUAGCUAGUUGGUAAGGUAACGGCUUACCAAGGCAACGAUGCAUAGCCGACCUGAGAGGGUGAUCGGCCACACUGGAACUGAGACACGGUCCAGACUCCUACGGGAGGCAGCAGUAGGGAAUCUUCCGCAAUGGGCGAAAGCCUGACGGAGCAACGCCGCGUGAGUGAUGAAGGUCUUCGGAUCGUAAAACUCUGUUAUUAGGGAAGAACAUAUGUGUAAGUAACUGUGCACAUCUUGACGGUACCUAAUCAGAAAGCCACGGCUAACUACGUG
This 497-nucleotide ribosomal RNA is filed under the name uncultured bacterium. RNAcentral's name for it is "partial 16S ribosomal RNA". It matches the Rfam family "Bacterial small subunit ribosomal RNA", at positions 28 to 507 of the family's 1533-position model. The record is from RNAcentral.